RNAcentral lists this ribosomal RNA (763 nucleotides) under uncultured Alphaproteobacteria bacterium. RNAcentral's name for it is "bacterial SSU rRNA". It matches the Rfam family "Bacterial small subunit ribosomal RNA", at positions 8 to 816 of the family's 1533-position model. Lineage: Bacteria; Pseudomonadati; Pseudomonadota; Alphaproteobacteria. The record is from RNAcentral.
AGAGUUUGAUCCUGGCUCAGAACGUACGCUGGCGGCACGCCUAACACAUGCAAGUCGAACGAAGUAGCAAUACUUAGUGGCAGACGGGUGAGUAACAUGUAGGUAUCUGCCCUUUGGCCUGGAAUAACACGAGGAAACUUGUGCUAAUACCGGAUAAGUCUUUACGGAGAAAGCUUUACGCACCAUUGGAUGAGCCUGCACUUGAUUAGUUUGUUGGUGGGGUAAUGGCCUACCAAGACUGUGAUCAAUAGCUGAUUUGAGAGGAUGAUCAGCCACAUUGGGACUGAGACACGGCCCAAACUCCUACGGGAGGCAGCAGUGGGGAAUCUUGCACAAUGGAGGAAACUCUGAUGUAGCGAUGCCGCGUGAGUGAAGAAGGCCCUUGGGUUGUAAAGCUCUUUCGUCGGGGAAGAAAAUGACUGUACCCGAAUAAGAAGGUCCGGCUAACUUCGUGCCAGCAGCCGCGGUAAUACGAAGGGACCUAGCGUAGUUCGGAAUUACUGGGCUUAAAGAGUUCGUAGGUGGUUGAAGAAGUUAGUGGUGAAAUCCCAGAGCUUAACUCUGGAACUGCCAUUAAAACUUUUCAGCUAGAGUAUGAUAAAGGAAAGCAGAAUUUCUAGUGUAGAGGUGAAAUUCGUAGAUAUUAGAAAGAAUACCAAUUGCGAAGGCAGCUUUCUGGAUCAUUACUGACACUGAGGAACGGAAGCAUGGGUAGCGAAGAGGAUUAGAUACCCUCGUAGUCCAUGCCGUAAACGAUGUGUGU